Molecule: ribosomal RNA, 406 nt
Filed under: uncultured bacterium
Lineage: Bacteria
Description: partial 16S ribosomal RNA
Rfam family: Bacterial small subunit ribosomal RNA
Source: RNAcentral
AUUGAACGCUGGCGGCAGGCCUAACACAUGCAAGUCGAACGAGUGGCGGACGGGUGAGUCAUGUCUGGGAAACUGCCUGAUGGCGGGGGAUAAAUACUGUAAACGGUAGCUAAUACCGCAUACCAUCGGAUGUGCCCAGAUGGGAUUAGCGAGUAGGUGGGGUAAAGGCUAACCUAGGCGACGAUCCCUAGCUGGUCUGAGAGGAUGACCAGCCACACUGGAACUGAGACACGGGUCAGACUCCUACGGGAGGCAGCAGUGGGGAAUAUUGCGAAAUGGGCGCAAGCCUGAUACAGCCAUGCCGCGUGUAUGAAGAAGGCCUUCGGGUUGUAAAGUACUUGCAGCGGGGAGGCGUUACCCGCAGAAGAAGCACAGGCUAACUCCGUGCCAGCCGCCGCGGUAAUAC